CCAAAACAUAGAAAAACCUGAGAAAGCCCUCUGAAUCACAAACACAGCAAAGAUACAAUCUUUUUCUCUAAAUUUCUCUAAAUGCAAGUUCCCAAACAAAAAAAAGCCUGAGACACAGCUCUAUUAAUCACAAACACAACAAAGAUACAAUCUUUUUCUCGAAAUGCAAGUACCCAAACAAAGAAAAGCCUGAGAUAAGCUCUACAAAUCAAAUGCACAGCAAAGCUAUGAUCUUUUUCUCAGAAUGCUUGAACCCAGAACAAAUAAAAAAGAAAUAAUUACACCCAAAUAAAGAAAGAGGAUAAAACAAGAAACAAGAAGGGAGAUUAAAUUUAUAAUCGAUGAAAGUACCUGGGAAUGAAUGAAAGAAACAGAUAAACGGGGAAGGAGACAAGAAGCGCGUUGGGGCCCACGGAGAAAGGGUCUUUUUCUUCUUGUUAAAACGUAUUUUAUCCUCCCUCUCUCUCUCUAAAAAAGAAGGAAGAUCACUUCACCUUUUUGUCAUUCCGCGUUUGUCAUCCUUUUAUAUUCACCCUCUUGCCAUGACCUCUAAUUUUUCAUAUCUGAAUGAUCUUAUAUUUUAUAAAUAUUGUAAUUAAAUACUCCCUCCCUUCCGGCCAUUUGUAUACAAAUGAUUGGGAUACGGAAACCAAGAAAUUGGGUAAUAAAUGAGUAAAGUUAGAUGAAAAGUGGGUAUAGUAGUGAGAUCCAUUUAUAUUUAAUAUAAUAGAUUUGAGAUUGUGGAGGAAAGUAAUGGGUGUAAUAGUGUUUAUAUUAUUACGGUUUUUCUGUGUUGUGCCCAUGGGCACACACUAAGCACAAAAUGUUAGUGCUUAGCAUGUGCCCAUGGGCACACAUUAGACAAACCCAUAUUAUUAUAGAAUGGAGAUAGUGGAAGAAAGUAGUUGGUGUAAUGAUGUUUUAUAUUAAAAAAUUUACUACUUUUGGAAUGUAUACAAUUGGUGGAACGUCCCAAAAUGAAAACUGUAUACAAUUCAUUGGGACGGAGGGAAUAUGUUUUUUAGACGUUUCUUUCAAUUAUUUUUUAACUUCGAUGAACUUAAAUAUGAGAUCGUGCAACAUCACAAAUAAAAAAAUUGAAAUAAUCUGGGUGUGGGUAUUUUUCUUAGAAUCAGAGAGUNCAAGCCGGUCCACAUCAAGAACCAAAUGAUCACCCAUUUAUUUAUUUGUACAAUUAGGGAGCCUGAGAUAGCCCUAUCAAACACAAACACAACAAAGAUAUAAUCUUUCUCGAAAUGCAAGAACCCAAACAAGAAAAGCUCGAGACAGCUUAUAAAUCACAAAAACAGACAAAGAUACAAUCUUUUUCUCAAAAUGCAAGUUCCCAAAACAACGAAAAGCCUGAGAAACCCUUCUGAAUAAAACUCAACAAAUAUAAAACCUUUUUGUCAAAAUACAAGAACCCAAAACAUAGAAAAACCUGAGAAAGCCCUCUGAAUCACAAACACAGCAAAGAUACAAUCUUUUUCUCUAAAUUUCUCUAAAUGCAAGUUCCCAAACAAAAAAAAGCCUGAGACACAGCUCUAUUAAUCACAAACACAACAAAGAUACAAUCUUUUUCUCGAAAUGCAAGUACCCAAACAAAGAAAAGCCUGAGAUAAGCUCUACAAAUCAAAUGCACAGCAAAGCUAUGAUCUUUUUCUCAGAAUGCUUGAACCCAGAACAAAUAAAAAAGAAAUAAUUACACCCAAAUAAAGAAAGAGGAUAAAACAAGAAACAAGAAGGGAGAUUAAAU
Molecule: long non-coding RNA, 1756 nt
Filed under: Daucus carota (carrot)
Lineage: Eukaryota; Viridiplantae; Streptophyta; Magnoliopsida; Apiales; Apiaceae
Description: long non-coding RNA (DCAR_LNC001431)
Source: RNAcentral